GAUGAACGCUGGCGGCGUGCCUAAUACAUGCAAGUCGAGCGAACGGACGAGAAGCUUGCUUCUCUGAUGUUAGCGGCGGACGGGUGAGUAACACGUGGAUAACCUACCUAUAAGACUGGGAUAACUUCGGGAAACCGGAGCUAAUACCGGAUAAUAUUUUGAACCGCAUGGUUCAAAAGUGAAAGACGGUCUUGCUGUCACUUAUAGAUGGAUCCGCGCUGCAUUAGCUAGUUGGUAAGGUAACGGCUUACCAAGGCAACGAUGCAUAGCCGACCUGAGAGGGUGAUCGGCCACACUGGAACUGAGACACGGUCCAGACUCCUACGGGAGGCAGCAGUAGGGAAUCUUCCGCAAUGGGCGAAAGCCUGACGGAGCAACGCCGCGUGAGUGAUGAAGGUCUUCGGGUCGUAAAACUCUGUUAUUAGGGAAGAACAUAUGUGUAAGUAACUGUGCACAUCUUGACGGUACCGAAUCAGAAAGCCACGGCUAACUACGU
This 496-nucleotide ribosomal RNA is filed under the name uncultured bacterium. RNAcentral's name for it is "partial 16S ribosomal RNA". It matches the Rfam family "Bacterial small subunit ribosomal RNA", at positions 28 to 506 of the family's 1533-position model. The record is from RNAcentral.